AGUAACACGUGAGGAACGUGCCCCAGAGACCGGGAUAAGCCGAGGAAACUUGGUCUAAUACCGGAUGUCCCCGCCGGAUCGCCUGGUCUGGUGAGGAAAUGGAUUCCGCUCUGGGAGCGCCCCGCGGCCUAUCAGCUAGUUGGUGAGGUAACGGCCCACCAAGGCGUCGACGGGUAGCUGGUCUGAGAGGAUGAUCAGCCACACUGGGACUGAGACACGGCCCAG
This 225-nucleotide ribosomal RNA is filed under the name uncultured bacterium. RNAcentral describes it as "partial 16S ribosomal RNA". It matches the Rfam family "Bacterial small subunit ribosomal RNA", at positions 109 to 334 of the family's 1533-position model. The record is from RNAcentral.